GGGGAUUUAGCUCAGUGGCGUAAGCACCUGCCUUGCAAGCAGGUGGUCCCGAGUUCGAUCCCUA
This is a transfer RNA of Cavia porcellus (domestic guinea pig), 64 nucleotides long. It matches the Rfam family "tRNA". From Rfam's summary of the family: Transfer RNA (tRNA) molecules are approximately 80 nucleotides in length. The record is from Rfam. Lineage: Eukaryota; Metazoa; Chordata; Mammalia; Rodentia; Caviidae.